AUUGAACGCUGGCGGCAGGCCUAACACAUGCAAGUCGAGCGGAUGAAGGGAGCUUGCUCCUGGAUUCAGCGGCGGACGGGUGAGUAAUGCCUAGGAAUCUGCCUGGUAGUGGGGGAUAACGUCCGGAAACGGGCGCUAAUACCGCAUACGUCCUGAGGGAGAAAGUGGGGGAUCUUCGGACCUCACGCUAUCAGAUGAGCCUAGGUCGGAUUAGCUAGUUGGUGGGGUAAAGGCCUACCAAGGCGACGAUCCGUAACUGGUCUGAGAGGAUGAUCAGUCACACUGGAACUGAGACACGGUCCAGACUCCUACGGGAGGCAGCAGUGGGGAAUAUUGGACAAUGGGCGAAAGCCUGAUCCAGCCAGGCCGCGUGUGUGAAGAAGGUCUUCGGAUUGUAAAGCACUUUAAGUUGGGAGGAAGGGCAGUAAGUUAAUACCUUGCUGUUUUGACGUUACCAACAGAAUAAGCACCGGCUAACUACGUG
This 484-nucleotide ribosomal RNA is filed under the name uncultured bacterium. RNAcentral's name for it is "partial 16S ribosomal RNA". It matches the Rfam family "Bacterial small subunit ribosomal RNA", at positions 30 to 507 of the family's 1533-position model. The record is from RNAcentral.